This 473-nucleotide ribosomal RNA is filed under the name Candida albicans. RNAcentral's name for it is "partial large subunit ribosomal RNA". It matches the Rfam family "Eukaryotic large subunit ribosomal RNA", at positions 100 to 549 of the family's 3401-position model. The record is from RNAcentral. Lineage: Eukaryota; Fungi; Ascomycota; Pichiomycetes; Serinales; Debaryomycetaceae.
GGCAAAAGCUCAAAUUUGAAAUCUGGCGUUUUUGGCGUCCGAGUUGUAAUUUGAAGAAGGUAUCUUUGGGCCCGGCUCUUGUCUAUGUUCCUUGGAACAGGACGUCACAGAGGGUGAGAAUCCCGUGCGAUGAGAUGACCCGGGUCUGUGUAAAGUUCCUUCGACGAGUCGAGUUGUUUGGGAAUGCAGCUCUAAGUGGGUGGUAAAUUCCAUCUAAAGCUAAAUAUUGGCGAGAGACCGAUAGCGAACAAGUACAGUGAUGGAAAGAUGAAAAGAACUUUGAAAAGAGAGUGAAAAAGUACGUGAAAUUGUUGAAAGGGAAGGGCUUGAGAUCAGACUUGGUAUUUUGCAUGCUGCUCUCUCGGGGGCGGCCGCUGCGGUUUACCGGGCCAGCAUCGGUUUGGAGCGGCAGGAUAAUGGCGGAGGAAUGUGGCACGGCUUCUGCUGUGUGUUAUAGCCUCUGACGAUACUGC